CAUCAUGCCAUAUCACCAGGGGCUAUGGUCUCAACAGAUUCUAUUUGCUAACCAGAGUUGGGUAUGGGCAGUAUUUGGUUGGGAGACCUCCAGGGAAAACCUUCAGGAAAUGGUGU
RNAcentral lists this ribosomal RNA (116 nucleotides) under Chelonoidis abingdonii (Abingdon island giant tortoise). The record is from RNAcentral. Lineage: Eukaryota; Metazoa; Chordata; Testudines; Testudinidae.